RNAcentral lists this ribosomal RNA (433 nucleotides) under uncultured bacterium. RNAcentral's name for it is "partial 16S ribosomal RNA". It matches the Rfam family "Bacterial small subunit ribosomal RNA", at positions 29 to 507 of the family's 1533-position model. The record is from RNAcentral.
AACGAACGCUGGCGGCAUGCCUAACACAUGCAAGUCGAACGAGACCUUCGGGUCUAGUGGCGCACGGGUGCGUAACGCGUGGGAACCUGCCCUUAGGUUCGGAAUAACUCCCCGAAAGGGGUGCUAAUACCGGAUAAUGUCUUCGGACCAAAGAUUUAUCGCCUUUGGAUGGGCCCGCGUUGGAUUAGCUAGUUGGUAGGGUAAAAGCCUACCAAGGCGACGAUCCAUAGCUGGUCUGAGAGGAUGAUCAGCCACACUGGGACUGAGACACGGCCCAGACCCCUCGGGGAGGAAGCGGGGGGGAAUAUGGCAAAGGGGGAGAGGGCCUGACCACGCUUUGCCGGGUGAGGAAUGAGGCCUUGGGGGUUGAAAACCUUUUUAACCGGGGAGAAUAAGAACGGAACGGGAAAAAUAAGCCCCGGCAAACCCCGUG